UAGUAAGAUGUAAAUGUUGAUUUAAAAUAAUAACUUGCUUUUUUAUUUAGUAUGCUCUCUACAUUGCCACUGGAAGAGCAUUUGAUUUCAGUCAGGAAGACAUGCCAAAAAUUAGAAGAUGGUGGUGUCAUCUCUUACUUCACAAAGCCAGCAUUAAAGCCAAGACUUCGGUCUUCACUUUCCACACGAGAAGAAGGACAUUCUGUGCCCCACGGCAGU
Polypterus senegalus (gray bichir) is the source of this 219-nucleotide long non-coding RNA. RefSeq lists it as uncharacterized. The record is from RefSeq and is a predicted model, not a curated record. Lineage: Eukaryota; Metazoa; Chordata; Cladistia; Polypteriformes; Polypteridae. The transcript is spliced from 3 exons.